RNAcentral lists this ribosomal RNA (382 nucleotides) under uncultured eukaryote. RNAcentral describes it as "SSU rRNA". It matches the Rfam family "Eukaryotic small subunit ribosomal RNA", at positions 587 to 972 of the family's 1831-position model. The record is from RNAcentral.
AGCUCCAAUAGCGUAUAUUAACGUUGUUGCGGUUAAAAAGCUCGUAGUUGGAAUUCUGUCAGUGGGCAACGGUCCGCCCUCAGCGGCUGGUACUUGUUGGGCCACAGGCAUCUUCCUGGAGAAUGUGUCUGCUCUUGACUGAGUGGCGCACAAUCCAGGACAUUUACUUUGAGGAAAUAGGAGUGCUUCAAGCAGGCAUGCGCCGUGAACAUGUUAGCAUGGAAUAAUAGCAUCGGACCUCGUUCCAAAGCUGUUGGUUUCUUGGAUCGAGGUAAAGGUGAAUAGGGAUUGUUGGGGGCAUUCGUAUUUAACUGUCAGAGGUGAAAUUCUUGGAUUUGUUGAAGACGGACUACUGCGAAAGCAUCUGCCAAAGAUGUUCUCA